RNAcentral lists this ribosomal RNA (467 nucleotides) under uncultured bacterium. Its description in RNAcentral is "partial 16S ribosomal RNA". It matches the Rfam family "Bacterial small subunit ribosomal RNA", at positions 356 to 814 of the family's 1533-position model. The record is from RNAcentral.
AGGGAAUCUUCCACAAUGGACGCAAGUCUGAUGGAGCAACGCCGCGUGAGUGAAGAAGGUCUUCGGAUCGUAAAGCUCUGUUGUUGGUGAAGAAGGAUAGAGGCAGUAACUGGUCUUUAUUUGACGGUAAUCAACCAGAAAGUCACGGCUAACUACGUGCCAGCAGCCGCGGUAAUACGUAGGUGGCAAGCGUUGUCCGGAUUUAUUGGGCGUAAAGCGAGCGCAGGCGGAAUGAUAAGUCUGAUGUGAAAGCCCACGGCUCAACCGUGGAACUGCAUCGGAAACUGUCAUUCUUGAGUGCAAGAAGAGGAGAGUGGAACUCCAUGUGUAGCGGUGGAAUGCGUAGAUAUAUGGAAGAACACCAGUGGCGAAGGCGGCUCUCUGGUCUGCAACUGACGCUGAGGCUCGAAAGCAUGGGUAGCGAACAGGAUUAGAUACCCUGGUAGUCCAUGCCGUAAACGAUGAGC